Molecule: ribosomal RNA, 406 nt
Filed under: uncultured bacterium
Lineage: Bacteria
Description: partial 16S ribosomal RNA
Rfam family: Bacterial small subunit ribosomal RNA
Source: RNAcentral
AUUGAACGCUGGCGGCAGGCCUAACACAUGCAAGUCGAACGAGCGGCGGACGGGUGAGUAAUGUCUGGGAAACUGCCCGAUGGAGGGGGCUAACUACUGGAAACGGUGGCUAAUACCGCAUACCAUCAGAUGAACCCAUAUGGGAUUAGCUUGUUGGUGGGGUAACGGCUAACCCAGGCGACGAUCCCUAGCUGGUCUGAGAGGAUGACCAGCCACACUGGAACUGAGACACGGUCCAGACUCCUACGGUAGGCAGCAGUGGGGAAUAUUGCACAAUGGGCGCAAGCCUGAUGCAGCCAUGCCGCGUGUAUGAAGAAGGCCUUCGGGUUGUAAAGUACUUUCAGUGGGGAGGCGUUACCCGCAGAAGAAGCACCGGCUAACUCCGUGCCAGCAGCCGCGGUAAUAC